This 253-nucleotide ribosomal RNA is filed under the name uncultured bacterium. Its description in RNAcentral is "partial 16S ribosomal RNA". It matches the Rfam family "Bacterial small subunit ribosomal RNA", at positions 524 to 776 of the family's 1533-position model. The record is from RNAcentral.
UACGGGGGGGGCAAGCGUUGUUCGGAAUUACUGGGCGUAAAGGGCUCGUAGGUGGCCAACUAAGUCAACCGUGAAAUCCCUCGGCUUAACCGGGGAACUGCGUUUGAUACUGGAUGGCUUGAGUUUGGGAGAGGGAUGCGGAAUUCCAGGUGUAGCGGUGAAAUGCGUAGAUAUCUGGAGGAAUACCGGUGGCGAAGGCGGCAUCCUGGACCGGCAUUGACGCUGAUGAGCGAAAGCUAGGGGAGCAAACGGG